AGUGAACGCUGGCGGUAGGCCUAACACAUGCAAGUCGAACGGCAGCACAGUAAGAGCUUGCUCUUACGGGUGGAGAGUGGCGGACGGGUGAGGAAUACAUCGGAAUCUACUUUUUCGUGGGGGAUAACGUAGGGAAACUUACGCUAAUACCGCAUACGACCUACGGGUGAAAGCAGGGGAUCUUCGGACCUUGCCCGAUUGAAUGAGCCGAUGUCGGAUUAGCUAGUUGGCGGGGUAAAGGCCCACCAAGGCGACGAUCCGUAGCUGGUCUGAGAGGAUGAUCAGCCACACUGGAACUGAGACACGGUCCAGACUACUACGGGAGGCAGCAGUGGGGAAUAUUGGACAAUGGGCGCAAGCCUGAUCCAGCCAUACCGCGUGGGUGAAGAAGGCCUUCGGGUUGUAAAGCCCUUUUGUUGGGAAAGAAAAGCAGCAGGUUAAUACCCCGCUGUUCUGACGGUACCGAAAGAAUAAGCACCGGCUAACUUCGUG
RNAcentral lists this ribosomal RNA (492 nucleotides) under uncultured bacterium. RNAcentral describes it as "partial 16S ribosomal RNA". It matches the Rfam family "Bacterial small subunit ribosomal RNA", at positions 29 to 507 of the family's 1533-position model. The record is from RNAcentral.